Molecule: ribosomal RNA, 254 nt
Filed under: uncultured bacterium
Lineage: Bacteria
Description: partial 16S ribosomal RNA
Rfam family: Bacterial small subunit ribosomal RNA
Source: RNAcentral
UACGGAGGGUGCAAGCAUUAAUCGGAAUUAUUGGGCGUAAAGGGCGCGUAGGCGGAUUUUUAAGUCGGAUGUGAAAUUCCGGGGCUCAACCUCGGAGCUGCUAUUUGAUACUGAAGAUCUGGAGGGUAGGCGGAGAAAGCGGAAUUCCACGUGUAGCGGUGAAAUGCGUAGAUAUGUGGAAGAACACCAGUGGUGAAGACGGCUUUCUAGCUUAUUCCUGACGCUGAGGCGCGAAAGCAAGGGGAGCAAACAGG